AGAGUUUGAUCAUGGCUCAGGAUGAACGCUAGCUACAGGCUUAACACAUGCAAGUCGAGGGGAAACGACAUCGAAAGCUUGCUUUUGAUGGGCGUCGACCGGCGCACGGGUGAGUAACGCGUAUCCAGCCUGCCCAUCACUUGGGGAUAACCUUGCGAAAGUAAGACUAAUACCCAAUGACGUCUCUAGAAGACAUCUGAAAGAGAUUAAAGAUUUAUCGGUGAUGGAUGGGGAUGCGUCUGAUUAGCUUGUUGGCGGGGUAACGGCCACAAGGCGACGAUCAGUAGGGGUUCUGAGAGGAAGGUCCCCCANAUUGGAACUGAGACACGGUCCAAACUCAUACGGGAGGCA
This 351-nucleotide ribosomal RNA is filed under the name uncultured bacterium. RNAcentral describes it as "bacterial SSU rRNA". It matches the Rfam family "Bacterial small subunit ribosomal RNA", at positions 8 to 350 of the family's 1533-position model. The record is from RNAcentral.